Molecule: ribosomal RNA, 465 nt
Filed under: uncultured bacterium
Lineage: Bacteria
Description: bacterial SSU rRNA
Rfam family: Bacterial small subunit ribosomal RNA
Source: RNAcentral
UUCCAGACUCCUACGGGAGGCAGCAGUGAGGAAUAUUGGUCAAUGGACGAGAGUCUGAACCAGCCAAGUAGCGUGAAGGAUGACUGCCCUAUGGGUUGUAAACUUCUUUUAUAUGGGAAUAAAAUGUUCCACGUGUGGGAUUUUGUAUGUACCAUAUGAAUAAGGAUCGGCUAACUCCGUGCCAGCAGCCGCGGUAAUACGGAGGAUCCGAGCGUUAUCCGGAUUUAUUGGGUUUAAAGGGUGCGUAGGCGGAACAUUAAGUCAGCGGUAAAAUCGAGGGGCUCAACCCCUUUAAGCCGUUGAAACUGGUGAUCUUGAGUGGGCGAGAAGUAUGCGGAAUGCGUGGUGUAGCGGUGAAAUGCAUAGAUAUCACGCAGAACUCCGAUUGCGAAGGCAGCAUACCGGCGCCCGACUGACGCUGAGGCACGAAAGCGUGGGGAUCGAACAGGAUUAGAUACCCCUGUA